CCCUUAGAUGUUCUGGGCUGCACGCGCGCUACACUGAAGCGUUCAACGAGUAUUCACCUUGCCCGGGAGGGUUGGGUAAUCUUUUGAAAACGCUUCGUGAUGGGGAUAGAUUAUUGCAAUUAUUAAUCUUCAACGAGGAAUUCCUAGUAAACGCAAGUCAUCAGCUUGCAUUGAUUACGUCCCUGCCCUUUGUACACACCGCCCGUCGCACCUACCGAUUGAAUGGUCCGGUGAAAUCUCGGGACGGCGGCUCGGUCGCUUGCGUCCGACUGCUGAAACUUGAUUAAACCAUAUCAUUUAGAGGAAGGUGAAGUCGUANCA
This 321-nucleotide ribosomal RNA is filed under the name uncultured eukaryote. RNAcentral describes it as "partial 18S ribosomal RNA". It matches the Rfam family "Eukaryotic small subunit ribosomal RNA", at positions 1470 to 1796 of the family's 1831-position model. The record is from RNAcentral.